UGGGUCCCUACUUCUAUUGGGAAAGGCAACUAGAGUGCGACACGUGGCAGAUUACCUUGGUUUAAGUCUUAAUGUGGCCUGUGGUGUUUCCCAUAAGAGAAUUGGCUUUGUGGCUUCAUGGUGUCCUCUGGGCUAAUGAUGGAAAAAUCAUUAUUGGAAAAGAAUGACAUGAACAAAGGAACCACUGAAGUGCCGGAGGACUGGAGGAGGAAGGGGGAGGGUGUGGGGGCAGUUGAGGGUGGCAGGGACUAAGGCUUCCUUCUCUACCCUAGGCCUGAUGGAGAGAAGAAGGCAUAUGUUCGACUGGCUCCUGAUUACGAUGCUUUGGAUGUUGCCAACAAAAUUGGGAUCAUCUAAACUGAGUCCAGCUGCCUAAUUCUGAAUAUAUAUAUAUAUCUUUUCACCAUAU
This 409-nucleotide small RNA is filed under the name Pan troglodytes (chimpanzee). Its description in RNAcentral is "retained intron". The stretch from base 130 to 193 matches the Rfam family "Small nucleolar RNA SNORD42". Lineage: Eukaryota; Metazoa; Chordata; Mammalia; Primates; Hominidae. The record is from RNAcentral.